This 253-nucleotide ribosomal RNA is filed under the name uncultured bacterium. Its description in RNAcentral is "partial 16S ribosomal RNA". It matches the Rfam family "Bacterial small subunit ribosomal RNA", at positions 524 to 776 of the family's 1533-position model. The record is from RNAcentral.
UACGGAGGGGGCUAGCGUUGUUCGGAAUCACUGGGCGUAAAGCGCACGUAGGCGGCUUUGUAAGUUAGAGGUGAAAGCCCAGGGCUUAACCCUGGAAUUGCCUUUAAGACUGCAUCGCUAGAAUCGUGGAGAGGUAAGUGGAAUUCCGAGUGUAGAGGUGAAAUUCGUAGAUAUUCGGAAGAACACCAGUGGCGAAGGCGACUUACUGGACACGUAUUGACGCUGAGGUGCGAAAGCGUGGGGAGCAAACAGG